Mycena latifolia is the source of this 95-nucleotide non-coding RNA. NCBI's taxonomy places the organism in Eukaryota, Fungi, Basidiomycota, Agaricomycetes, Agaricales, Mycenaceae. The record is from the annotation of a GenBank genome assembly.
GGUCUGGUAGCACAACUGGUUAGUGCUUCUGCAACAAGUGUUUCGUCCAUGGUGUGAUUCUGCAGAAGAUCCCUGUUCGAUUCGGGGUCAGAUCA